RNAcentral lists this long non-coding RNA (589 nucleotides) under Homo sapiens (human). RNAcentral describes it as "LHRI_LNC244.1". Lineage: Eukaryota; Metazoa; Chordata; Mammalia; Primates; Hominidae. The record is from RNAcentral.
GGGGCUCUGGGGCCCUGGCGGGCGUCACUUCAAACGCACUUUCUGGUUGAGUCACUUUUUAACGGCUCCAGUGCUGUGAGCUGCUGCUGCUGCUGGGUCCCUGGCCUUGGGGGCCAACCCUCCCCCAUUUGACUGCUUAAUAGGCUCUGAAGGAAAGGGCUGGGGAGGCCAUCUGCUGCUGGAGAGACUCUGCGGGCCACCUGGCCACCCAGUUAGGCCCCUCUGCCCCCCAACCCACAAGCCUGGGCCAGAGGGUCCGCCCUGGGUCGCUCCCACUGCUUUUUCCAACGGGGUUGUGAGGGGAGAACAGGUCUUCACAGAAGACCUGUUCUUUGGGGACUUUGAAUUGAGCUCCCUCUGGGGAACAGAAACGGGGUGCCCGAUUUUCAGGAAGGUGAAACUUAACCUCGCUGAGUUUCCGGUUCCUCAUCUCUGAGAUGGGGAUACCAUCACUUACCUCACUGGGUCAGCAUGACGAUCAAGCGAGAUUCAGAUUGAGUGUGUUUCAUCAAGUUCUCUAGCUGCCUGGGCUGCCUCCCUUCCCUCGGCCCCGAGUGCAGAACGUGGAGGUGAACGGGAUGAAUCCAAG